GCGUGGACGAUUUAGCCAUGCUAGUCGCACGAGUUCAGACUCGUGGCGAAUAGCUCAGUAACACGUGGCCAAACUACCCUUCGGAACACAAUACCCUCGGGAAACUGAGGCUAAUAGUGUAUACCAUACCACCACUGGAAUGAGUGGUAUGCCAAACGCUCCGGCGCCGAAGGAUGUGGCUGCGGCCGAUUAGGUAGACGGUGGGGUAACGGCCCACCGUGCCAAUAAUCGGUAUGGGUCAUGAGAGUGAGAACCCAGAGACGGAAUCUGAGACAAGAUUCCGGGCCCUGCGGGG
This 295-nucleotide ribosomal RNA is filed under the name Halorubrum sp. enrichment culture clone TTGE_A.3. RNAcentral describes it as "partial 16S ribosomal RNA". It matches the Rfam family "Archaeal small subunit ribosomal RNA", at positions 36 to 330 of the family's 1478-position model. Lineage: Archaea; Methanobacteriati; Methanobacteriota; Halobacteria; Halobacteriales; Haloferacaceae. The record is from RNAcentral.